AUGUGUGAUAUUGAGCGUAUGUUCCAUCAGUUUCACGUCAAAGCAGAGGACCAGGACUACUUGAGAUUUCUCUGGUGGGACGAUGGGAACUUCCAGGCUCAACCAUCUGUCUAUCGCAUGCGAGUGCACCUAUUUGGAGCUGCCUCCUCCCCUGGUUGUGCAAACUUUGGGUUGGAACAUGUUGCCGCCCAAGGACAUGGUCACUACAGUGAAACAACCAUUCAGUUCAUUGAACGAAACUUUUACGUGGACGAUGGGCUCACAAGUGUCGCAACCAAGGAUGAAGCCAUCAAGUUAGUAAAGGAAGCAAGGCAACUCUGCAGUGCUGGCAAACUGCGAAUUCACAAAUUCAUUUCCAACAAUCAUGAGGUACUUACAUCCAUUCCAGAGAGUGAACGUGCAGAUUCAGUACGAAAUCGUGACUUGGUUCUUGGUGAGUCCCAAAUUGAGAGAGCUCUGGGAAUCAAAUGGUGCAUUGUUUCAGACCAGUUCCGUUUCAGAGUGAUUGUGGAUGAGCGCCCACUUUCUAGAAGAGGAGUCUUAUCAACUGUGGCAUCCAUCUAUGACCCUCUUGGCUUUGUGGCACCAUUUGUUCUGGUUGGAAAGCAAAUACUCCAACAGAUGUGUCAAGACAAGGUUGGAUGGGAUGAGCCACUGUCAGAAGAGCUCAAACCACGGUGGGAGUCUUGGCUGUUAGAUUUAAAGAACCUGGCUGACAUCAAAAUUCAGCGCUGUUAUCUCCCAGAAGGUUUUGAGAAAGUUGAAAGAUAUGAGCUGCAUCAUUUCUCAGAUGCGAGUGUUAAAGGGUAUGGUGAAUGUUCUUACUUGAGAGCAAUCAGUGUUUCAAACCAAGUCCACUGCUCUUUAGUUAUUGGCAAAGCCAGGGUGACUCCUACAAAGGUCACCACAGUACCCAGGCUUGAGCUAUCAGCAGCAGUUAUUGCUGUGCGAACGAGUGACCUGCUUAAAAGGGAGUUGGAAGUUCAAGCCAAAGAAUUCUUCUGGACAGAUUCGAAGGUUGUUCUUGGAUACAUCAACAACGAUGCUAGAAGGUUUCACAUAUUUGUGGCAAAUCGUAUUCAGCGUAUCCAAGAAGGUUCCAAUCCAGACCAAUGGAGAUAUGUGACUUCUGAGAACAAUCCUGCUGACCAUGCAUCACGGGGUCUGACAGCAAAGGGACUAAUUACUUCCAACUGGUUCACUGGUCCAGAUUUUCUCUGGCAGGAUAAACUUCCUGCUGAUGACAUUAAGGUGGGAGAGUUGGGAGCUGAAGAUCUAGAACUUCGUAAGACUUUUGUCCAUAAGACACUGACCACAAAAGAUUCGUUGCUCAAUCAUUUCUCAAGGUUCUCAAACUGGAUAAGGCUAGUUAAAGCCAUUGCACGACUCAUGCGAUGUGUCAAAGAGCUCAAGGGUCUGAUGUGCAGAACAAACGAAGUCACCAGUCUUGAGGAGAGGAAAGAGGCAGAGUUUUUCAUCAUAGCUACUGUCCAAAACGAACUGUUUUCCGAAGAAAUCAAAGAUCUGAAAUUGAAGGAGACAAUAACAAGAGAUCGUGCAAAUAGGCUGCACAAACUGAAUCCCUUCUUGGAUGAAAAGGGUGUGCUAAGAGUGGGAGGUCGGCUGGAGCAUGCAGAUUUACACCCACACAUCAAACAUCCAGUGAUCCUGCCGAGCAAAACCCACAUAUCAAGGUUACUGAUUGAACACUUCCAUCAAAAGGUUCAUCACCAGGGACGUGGGAUGACUAUGAAUGAGCUGCGAUCAAAUGGCAUUUGGCUAUUAGGAUGUAGUCACGCAGUGUCUUCCUACAUCUACAAGUGUGUCAAAUGUAGGAAAUUUAGAAGGAAUGCUGAAGUACAAAGAAUGGCAGAUUUACCGCGUGAAAGAGUUGAAACAUCGCCUCCCUUUUCCUAUUGUGGAAUGGACUGCUUUGGCCUGUUUUACGUUAAGGAGGGAAGAAAGGAACUUAAACGCUACGGUCUGCUAUUCACAUGUCUGUGCUCUCGUGCUGUGCAUAUAGAGCUGCUCGACGACAUGACCAGUGAUCUUUAUUAA
Molecule: long non-coding RNA, 2058 nt
Filed under: Oreochromis niloticus (Nile tilapia)
Lineage: Eukaryota; Metazoa; Chordata; Actinopteri; Cichliformes; Cichlidae
Description: lncRNA (ENSONIG00000028590.1)
Source: RNAcentral